GCUCCCAAAUCCAGUGGUGGGUAACACAUUGCUUCCCAGGACCUGGGAACUAAGUCUUAGAGGAUGAGGAGGGGUUAGCCCAUCAGUGGAUGGUGUUGUGGACAGCAGCAGUGUUCACAAAGGUGCAGCUGAAGCAGAAGCAUGUGAGGGAAUGAUGGACGAGGAGACUCACCCGGAGCAGGGGCUAGACCGGAAGAGGCCGGCUUUGGCUUCUAUCCCGUUCCUCCAACAAUGCAGGCAUUACAGAAGAGAUAGUGCCAUGUGAAGGAGAGACCUCUGCAGUUACAUAGACCUCGGCUGUGUGAUCUUGCACAGAGACUAAGGCUGAAGCUAGAAGACACAAAACAACUCAUUAAUUGAGUAGGAACGAAGCUAGUCGAACCUUUACUUAACUGUACCAACUGCUGACAGAAUGACCUCUUAUACCACUUCCUUUGGAUCCGCCUACAACACAGAGAGUCACUACCAUCUGUAUUCAUGAGGACAUUCUUAAAGCACCUUAGCCUGUUACGGCACUGCAAAGCCUCCAAGUAAAGCAACCUCUUGAACUUUGUUUAAAACAAUAUUUUCUCAACACGGUUUGACAUGGUGGUUCCUAUUGUUUACAGAUCACUGGAAUUCAGAGAGAAUCAGACAUAUGAAACAAAGUUCAGGGAUGUAUGCUGCAGCUAAGCACUUGGAAGAGCGAGUCCGUGGAGAUUAGAUGCGGAAAGAGAAAAUGAAGGGAAGGCGAGAGAAUGUUCGCUGGAAGAGAGCGAGCGGUUGCAAUUUGCACCCCUCCCGCCCCUCGACGCAGGCAAUUCCUCGCACGCACCUGGCGGCGCGGGCCGAGCGGCUUCCGCGCGGCUAAUAUACAUAUUUCGAGGGGGAGGCUGGGCGGCUGCUUCUUCGCCGGGUCAAUGUGUUAAUUAAAAGUUGGUCCGAGUUGGUCAGCACGCAGUCCCAGAUGUGCUUAACAGCAUGCAAUUAACACAUAAGGCAAAUCUUUUUGAAGAUACCAGAAUUGAAAACCCCCCAAAGAAACGCCACCCCGCCCCCGCCCUUAACGUGAAAUAGCAACGGCAAAUAAGGGAAAAGUCAUUAAAAGACGUAAUUAAAUGUGGGCCGCCGUUCUUGGAGGGGGUCGGGCUGGAAAAAA
Lutra lutra (Eurasian river otter) is the source of this 1138-nucleotide long non-coding RNA. RefSeq lists it as uncharacterized. The record is from RefSeq and is a predicted model, not a curated record. The transcript is spliced from 7 exons. Lineage: Eukaryota; Metazoa; Chordata; Mammalia; Carnivora; Mustelidae.